ACACGACUACAUUAGAUACCCGUGUAGUCCUAGCCGUAAACGAUACUCGCUAGGUGUCGGACACGGUGCGACCGUUGUCGGUGCCGUAGGGAAGCCGUGAAGCGAGCCACCUGGGAAGUACGGCCGCAAGGCUGAAACUUAAAGGAAUUGGCGGGGAGCACCACAACGGGUGGAGCUUGCGGUUUAAUUGGAUUCAACGCCGGAAAUCUUACCGGGACCGACAGCAACAUGAAGGCCAGGCUGAAGACUUUGCCGGAUUAGCUG
Molecule: ribosomal RNA, 264 nt
Filed under: uncultured archaeon
Lineage: Archaea
Description: partial 16S ribosomal RNA
Rfam family: Archaeal small subunit ribosomal RNA
Source: RNAcentral